RNAcentral lists this ribosomal RNA (643 nucleotides) under uncultured archaeon. Its description in RNAcentral is "bacterial SSU rRNA". It matches the Rfam family "Archaeal small subunit ribosomal RNA", at positions 342 to 981 of the family's 1478-position model. The record is from RNAcentral.
CGAAAACUCCGCAAUGCGCGAAAGCGUGACGGGGGAACCCCAAGUGCCGUUGGUCUUUUGACUGACGGCUUUUAGGGAGUCUAAGAAGCUCCCGGAAUAAGGGCUGGGCAAGACUGGUGCCAGCCGCCGCGGUAAUACCAGCAGCCCAAGUGGUGGUCGCGUUUAUUGGGCCUAAAGCGCUCGUAGCCGGGCUUGCAAGUCCCUUGUGAAAUCGGACGGCUCAACCGUUCGGCGUGCAAGGGAUACUGCUAGCCUUGGGAUCGGGAGAGGUCGGGGGUACUCUGGGGGUAGCGGUGAAAUGCUGUAAUCCCUGGGGGACCACCAGUGGCGAAGGCGCCCGACCAUAACGGAUCCGACGGUGAGGGGCGAAGGCUAGGGGAGCGAACGGGAUUAGAUACCCCGGUAGUCCUAGCAGUAAAGGAUGCGGGCUGGGUGUCAGGCGCCCUUCGAGAGCGCCUAGUGCCGUAGGGAAGCCGUUAAGCCCGCCGCCUGGGAAGUACGGUCGCAAGGCUGAAACUUAAAGAAAUUGGCGGGGGAGCACUACAAGGGGUGGGACCUGCGGUUUAAUUGGAUUCAACGCCGGACAACUCACCAGGGGCGACAGUUGGUUGAAGGCCAGGUUGACGACCUUGCCGGACUAGCU